Molecule: ribosomal RNA, 331 nt
Filed under: uncultured eukaryote
Lineage: Eukaryota
Description: partial 18S ribosomal RNA
Rfam family: Eukaryotic small subunit ribosomal RNA
Source: RNAcentral
CCCUUAGAUGUUCUGGGCCGCACGCGCGCUACACUGUUCGACGCAGCGAGUCUUAACCUUGACCGAAAGGUUUGGGUAAUCUUCAGCAAAGUCGAACGUGAUGGGGAUCGAUCAUUGCAAUUAUUGAUCGUGAACGAGGAAUUCCUAGUAAGUGCAAGUCAUCAGCUUGCGCUGAUUACGUCCCUGCCCUUUGUACACACCGCCCGUCGCUACUACCGAUUGAAUGGUUUAGUGAGAUCUCUGGAUUGACGCUGGCUAGGGGGCGACCCUUGGCCAGACUGUUGAGAAACUUCUCAAACUUGAUCAUUUAGAGGAAGUAAAAGUCGUAACA